This 1736-nucleotide ribosomal RNA is filed under the name Acinetobacter baumannii. Its description in RNAcentral is "partial 23S ribosomal RNA". It matches the Rfam family "Bacterial large subunit ribosomal RNA", at positions 1209 to 2925 of the family's 2925-position model. The record is from RNAcentral. RNAcentral also lists the same sequence under 1 other name. Lineage: Bacteria; Pseudomonadati; Pseudomonadota; Gammaproteobacteria; Moraxellales; Moraxellaceae.
UAUACUUUGUAUACGUGGUAGGGGAGCGUUCUGUAAGCCGAUGAAGGUGUGUUGAGAAGCAUGCUGGAGGUAUCAGAAGUGCGAAUGCUGACGUGAGUAACGACAAAACGGGUGAAAAACCCGUUCGCCGAAAGACCAAGGGUUCCAGUCCAACGUUAAUCGGGGCUGGGUGAGUCGACCCCUAAGGCGAGGCCGAAAGGCGUAGUCGAUGGGAAAAUGGUUAAUAUUCCAUUACUUCUGUGUAAUGCGAUGAGAGGACGGAGAAGGCUAAAUCAGCCUGGCGUUGGUUGUCCAGGUGAAAGGAUGUAGGCAUGUAUCUUAGGCAAAUCCGGGGUACUCUAUGCUGAGAUCUGAUAGCAAGCUGUACUUGUACAGCGAAGUGGUUGAUGCCAUGCUUCCAGGAAAAGUCUCUAAGCUUCAGUUACACAGGAAUCGUACCCGAAACCGACACAGGUGGUCAGGUCGAGUAGACCAAGGCGCUUGAGAGAACUCUGCUGAAGGAACUAGGCAAAAUGGUACCGUAACUUCGGGAGAAGGUACGCUGUUGUUGGUGAUGGAACUCGCUUCCUGAGCUGACGACAGCCGCAGAAACCAGGCCGCUGCAACUGUUUAUUAAAAACAUAGCACUCUGCAAACACGAAAGUGGACGUAUAGGGUGUGAUGCCUGCCCGGUGCUGGAAGGUUAAUUGAUGGGGUUAGCGUAAGCGAAGCUCUUGAUCGAAGCCCCAGUAAACGGCGGCCGUAACUAUAACGGUCCUAAGGUAGCGAAAUUCCUUGUCGGGUAAGUUCCGACCUGCACGAAUGGCAUAAUGAUGGCGGCGCUGUCUCCAGCAGAGGCUCAGUGAAAUCGAAAUCGCUGUGAAGAUGCAGUGUACCCGCGGCUAGACGGAAAGACCCCGUGAACCUUUACUGCAGCUUGACACUGAACUUUGACCUUACUUGUGUAGGAUAGGUGGGAGGCUUUGAAGCUGGAACGCUAGUUCCAGUGGAGCCGUCCUUGAAAUACCACCCUGGUAAUGUUGAGGUUCUAACUCUGUCCCGUGAUCCGGGACGAGGACCGUGUCUGGUGGGUAGUUUGACUGGGGCGGUCUCCUCCUAAAGAGUAACGGAGGAGUACGAAGGUGCGCUCAGCGUGGUCGGAAAUCACGCGUAGAGUAUAAAGGCAAAAGCGCGCUUAACUGCGAGACCCACAAGUCGAGCAGGUACGAAAGUAGGUCUUAGUGAUCCGGUGGUUCUGUAUGGAAGGGCCAUCGCUCAACGGAUAAAAGGUACUCUGGGGAUAACAGGCUGAUACCGCCCAAGAGUUCAUAUCGACGGCGGUGUUUGGCACCUCGAUGUCGGCUCAUCUCAUCCUGGGGCUGAAGCAGGUCCCAAGGGUAUGGCUGUUCGCCAUUUAAAGAGGUACGCGAGCUGGGUUUAGAACGUCGUGAGACAGUUCGGUCCCUAUCUACCGUGGGCGCUGGAAAUUUGAGAGGAUCUGCUCCUAGUACGAGAGGACCAGAGUGGACGAACCUCUGGUGUACCGGUUGUGACGCCAGUCGCAUCGCCGGGUAGCUAUGUUCGGAAGGGAUAACCGCUGAAAGCAUCUAAGCGGGAAGCCUACCUCAAGAUAAGAUUUCCCUAGGACUUUAUGUCCUCUAAAGAGCCGUUCGAGACUAGGACGUUGAUAGGUUGGAUGUGGAAGCAUAGUGAUAUGUGAAGCUGACCAAUACUAAUUGCUCGUGAGGCUUGACUAU